CAUCUCUGGGGGGGGGCUGGGUUUAGGUUAUCAUGUUGUUGUACUUUGUAACACUGACUUAUGAGAUGAUAAAACUGUUGGUCGUGACACUAAUCUCAUAUUUGUACUCAGUAUUGCCAUCAACUCUGUACUUCAGGAGCCAUCUAUUGGGAACUAUUAAUAAUUACACCUUUUACCUUUUCUCCUCAGAGAGCUAAUCUAUGGGGGAGAUACCUUAUCCAUCUUCUCCUCCAAAAUUAAAAUAGUUCUUGAGGAUUUCAAAUAUUGAUAGGAUUUUGAAACUAUCAUGUUCCUAUUUCUAUGGCUCCUGAAUGUGCUUCUGGUCUUGUUUAAGGUGCAAGCAACUAUAUAAGAAUAACAUCCAGAGAUCUACCCUGAGCCUGGAUAGCUAUGAGUGGCAGGGUGUGUGAGGUAGUAUGGGCAAGAGCCUAGAACAGUUCCAGCCUUUUGGAAUUGCCCUUGAAUAAGUGCAGAAUCUGAAAAACUACAUAAAUAUUUGAAAAAAUAUACUGUCCGUUUGCAAAUCCAGAGACACAAAUCACCACAAUGCGCUGAGGCCUGGCCCAGGCCUACUGAGUGCUGUUCUAUUUAGUAACUUCAAGGGCAAGGGGAGCACAAUGAACACAAUGACAAAACAACAUGUGGCUAUUCCAACCCUGGUGACAGGAAGCAGGUUAUUCCAACCUCAGUGAUAGGCAUCGUCGCUAUGCAAAUCCCAGGGAGAGGCACUGCAGAUGAACCAAAGACCAAUCCAUGCCAGUAUCAGUCCUCCCUUGUGGAGGUCCUGAAGGUUGAAGAAUGGCUGCCAAUCACUACCACAACAGUGCUGUGACAGCAGCAGCACACCAAGAUUUCCUGAUUCUCAUCCAUAUGAUGCCUCCUGAACUGGAGAUCUAAGGAGUGAUCAGCAAGGCUCGCUCACCUUUCAACAGUCCCAUAUGAUCAGUGCAAAAGGCCAACGGAGAGUGGAGACUAAUGGUAGACUACUGUGGCCUGGAUGAAGUCACACCACCUGCAAGCGCUGCUGUUUUGGACAUGCUGGAACUUAAAUACAAACUGCAGUCAAAGGAAGCCAAGCAAUAAGCCAAAAAUGAUAUUUCUAAUGCAGUUUUGUCUGUUCCUUGGGCAGCAGGAGGAUGCUGUUAGCUUCCAUUUGGAAGGAAAUCCAGAAGACCUGGAACUGACUGUCCAGGGGUGGAAGCACAGCCCUACCAUCAAACAUGGACUGAUCCAGACUGCAACAGUGUGAAGCUAUAUGCUGUCAUUGUGUGUGACAAUACAACAGAAGUUUUUGAGAAAGGGAAGAAAAUAGACCAAAUCCUUCUGAAAGCCAGUUUUUCCGUAAAAUAAAGUAAGGUCAAGGGACCCGAACAAGACAUUCAGUUUUUAGGAAUAAAAGAGCAAGAUAGAAAUUGUCAAAUUCCAAUGGUUGUGAUCAACAAAAUAACAGCAAUGUCUAAACCAAUUAGCAAAAAAUUACACAUUGUGUAAUUUUUUAAUUUUUCUUUGACAUUGUGGGUUUUUGUAGAAUGUACAUUCCAGAUUACAGCCUGAUUGUCAGCCCUCCCCAUCAAGCAACACAGAAAAAUUAUUUCAAAUAGGUUUCUGAUUUAUGACAAGCCAUUGAACAAAUCAAACAGGAGAUAGUCCAUGCAGUACAUCUCAGGCCACUCUAGAGAUUCAAGCACAUGCUCUACACUGCUGCUAGGGAGAAAGGCCUUGCCUGGAGGCUCUUGCAGAAAGCACCAGAAAAGACUAGAGUUCAACCUCCAGGUUUUUGAUGUCUGGUGUACAGAGCAUCUGAAGCCCACUAUACUCCAGUUGAAAAAGUGAUACUGGCAUCUUUUGAAGGGGUUUGAGCUGUUGUGGAAGUCACUGGUACUGAAGUAUAGCUUCUUCUGGCAUCCCAUUUGCUGGUGCUAGCCUGGGCGUUCAGCAGGAGGAUCUCCUCUAUACAUCAUGCAACUCAUUCUGCAUGGAGUAAGUGGGUCACACUGAACUCACAAUGGGCUCAAACAGGAAACCCAAGUCACACAGGAAUUUUGGAAGUGAUCAUGGAUUGAAUAAAGAGAAAACUAAGGUUUCAGAAUAUUGCCAGAGAAGGACACACUAUACAAAGACCUACGAGAAAAAGGGAAACAAUAUACCCUUUUCACUGAUGGAUUCUUUAGUAAUAUAGGAGAAUCAUUCAAGGUGGAAUGCUGCUAUGCAGAGCCCCGCACAACAAGUCACAGGAACUGCUGAAAGUGAAGGUGAAUUGAGUCAGUUUGCAGAGGAGAAAGUUAUCCAACUGGCUUUAGAUUCUAUAAUAGCUGAAUGAAAAAAAUGGCCAAUACUUUACUUCCAUAGUGUCUCAAGGAUGGUUGCCAAUGCCUUGUGGAUGUGGCCGCAGCAAUGGAAGAAGACAAGCUGGCAGCAAAGAGGAUAUCUUUUUCUUUCAGUUAUCAAAUACAACUAAGUAUUUUCAACUGCUAGCUUCAUUGUUCUUCUGGCAUACUGCUCUGCGAAUUUAAAAAUGGCAACAAAUGUGCAAGCCUAUUAAGUCAGAGUUCCCAAGAAUGCCAGAUAAAUGGAAACCUAAACAUCAGACAGAGCAAGAAUCAGGAAAGUUCAAAUCUUCAAUAAUCCAGACUAAUUAAAAACAGUUUCAGAAAGUGGUUACACCAAGGCUGGAAGAAUAAUAAAUGUCAUUCUGUGUCUUCCAGAUGUAAAUAGUCUAUGUUUUGUUAGGUCUCUGACAAAUACUUUCAAAAUAAUAUGUACAAAUGUCUAGGAUACUUUAGGGAGCCCUAGGUAGACCUAGAUACCUAAAAACAACAAUCUACGACUACCUCUACGUACACUACAUAGGUCAGGACAUCUAGCUGAUAAUGCUUCUCUCAUUUAUACCCCAUUUCCAUUUGUUACAGGAGCUAGCUUUAUAUUGACAUCAACCUUUCAGAAGAAAUGAAAGGUAUUAAAAAUUAAAGACUACAGAAUAUGCUUUUGGCAUAUUUUUUUUCUUUUCCUUUCAUUUUCUUUUCCCCUUUCUUUUCUGCAUUCCCUUCCUGCUUCAGUAUUCAAAAACAACAGAUAUACUCUAGGCAUCCACAUGCUAACAUGUGUAUUUUGGUCCUGACAGGUUACUCAGAAGCCUAGGAAAGUAUUCAUGAAGCAGAUACUAGUGAAGAGAGCUAGAUUAUUGGUUUUUGUCCAUUGAUUCUAAACUGGUACUGCUGUAGGAAACCUCUUUCAAGACAGUUACUGAAUACUCAGGUCUCAGACCCUGGAUGAUGUCAUUGGGAAUUACGACUGAGAAGAAUUUCCACAUUUGUUAGAUUGGAAAGAGGCUACUUUGAGCCUAUGGGAAAGGGCUUUGUUUGUAGGGCAGAGACAGCAGGAGUGGUGGGAGGUUAUGGAAAGUCAGGAAAGGGCAGAGAGAAAAAAGAACAAUGGCAGAAGGGUGUGAGUCUGCCCAGUUUCUUUGUCAGGUGUUCACCAGCUCUGCUGCCCAAGACAUCACAGAAGCAGCCUGAGAGACUACUACAGGUUUAGGGUAUCUGUGAGCCACCAGUUCCCUAGCAAAACUUAAAGUACAGGGGAAGAUUCUAGGAGACAGAAAAACUAAUCAUAUUUUUCCAAUACUUGGAGGAAAUCAGAGAAAAUCUUCAGGUUAGUGCAGCCUGCAUUUUAGAUAUUCUAUUCAUUUAAUUCUAUCAUAGAAUUACUUGGUUGAGAACAACAAGAUAAGCAUAUCAUUAAUGCCACUGAACAGGAGAACAAGAACAGCAAAGGUUCUCCAAAGAAACCUAAUUUUAGAAUGAAUAUAGAGACAUAAUGGAAAUUUCAUAUAUUCAUCAGUCAUCAAAAUGUAGAUAUAAAACAGUUGUGAAAUUGUUGUUGAUUUACAGCAAAUUUAGAGAGGCACAGAAUCUGAAGAGCUAUUUGGCUGGCAGACAGAAUGUUUCACCAAGGGCAUUUGAAACAAAAAUGUAUUUUAUUACCAAAUCUGAAGUACAUGUGCAGAAACAAUGAACAGAAAGUUUUUGUGUUGUAUCUAAAUAUUUCAAAGCAGUAGAGAGAUUUGGUUUGGUUUAGUCUUUGUGCAGGACAAAUAUCCUUUAAAAUAGCUGUUUACAGGCUUCAUAAGAAGCUAAUCAAGGCAAGGCAAUGUAUCAAAUUCUGCAUCCCUCUUCAGAGUGUGCAGAGGGACAUACCUACAUUUUAUUAUCUGGUGGAGGCCUGUGGUCUGAAAAAUCUACUGUCAAACAGCAGCUGUACACAAAAUGAAUGAGAAGUCAUUUUAAAUCAUUCACUUUUCCAACUGCAUUUUAUUAUUUCUCUACAUAAUUUAUGGUUUAUAAAGUCUAUCCACAAUAGUAUCCCUUUAGUUUAAACAAACUGAUCACCGAAAGCCUUGGGAAAGUUCAAGUGCAGUCAAUUAGUAUCACUGACACUAAAGGUAGCAUUACUUUUCUGUCAAGAAAAUUGUCCUACUUUUCCUUUUAAGUCUCGUGUGCUUUCAAACUUUCAAAUAACUGUAAGUUUACAAUCAUAUGUCAGUUUUUUGCUGCUAAAGGAAUACACAAAAACAGACUUCAAAGCCAUCUUUGUUCUGCACAUGCAUAUCAAAGAAAACAUCUAUUUUAUUUUGCUGCAUCAAAGGCUAUUAAGUACUAUUUUAACAUUUGGGAAAUAACACAAUUUGACAUUUAAUGAACUUAAUGUUCAUCAUGUGCCUUCAUUAAUUCCUUUGCUAGAUUUUAACUUUUUGAAGUCACAUCAAAAGUUCAGAAAUUAUAUACACUAAAAAUCAUAUAUACACAUAUACACACAUAUGUAUGUAUUCAUAUACUUAUAUAUAAACAUGUUUUUAUAAUGGACCAUUUUUAUUUAGAAAAAUAUUAAAGUUUAUGAUUGUAAUUUUGUUAGAAUUUUGUAACAGACAGUAAUUCUAUUAAUUAUUGGUUUGUUGUUAAUUUAUACAAUCACCUCAUAGCUGUUAUGGUUUCCUGAUUCUUUUCUGCUUUGAUGCAUUUAUGGAAAUCUUACGUCUUCUUGAAAAGUUCCAACUCUGAAGUAUUUUAAGCUCUUGUUGAGGUUAAUCAAAGUCACUUAAAAGCAAACUGUAAAGCUCUUUCACUACAUAAAAAAUGAAAUUUUCUUCAUAAAUGCAUUUUAGAAUAGUGACAUGGAUUUAGAGUCUCAAAUAAAGUAUGACUCUGAUGCUUAUCAGUGAAGAGAGAAGUUAUACUUGUGAAACUGCCUGUGGUUUUCAGGAUAGAAAGUUUUAUGUUUUAAAAUAAACUUUUCUGCUUGACUGGUCUCUUCUAGUACUAUGGAGCAUAAGAAUUCCCAUUUAUUUUUUGUUAAUUUCUUUGUGCCAUGGAAUAGCUAAAGUUUGUAUCAUUUUGGUGUUUGUUUUUGUUGUUUGGUUUUUUCAACAACUUUGCUUACCAGGAUAUGUGAUAAUGUAAGAUAUACAGUUCAAUGUUCACACUUGGAUAUACAAAGUACAGCUAGAACUAAUUAUUGUUUAAGGCAGUCUCACCAGAUGAAAGAAGAUCAAUUAGCCUGGAACUUAUGACCCAUUAUUGAGUCAUUUUAUUCUUUGCUAAAUAAAGUACAGCGUUAAGCAUAGAUAAUCAAUGGCAUUAUAACCAUUCUUGAUUUUUUCUGCAGAUGUUCCAAAACUUUUAUGUAUUAAAAUAACAAGGAUUUUUAAAGAAAGAACAAACAAAGGACAGAAAACAGAACUGGAGAAUACUAAGAUUAUUCAUUCAAGUAGAGCUAAGAAAAAACAAAUAAAUUUGCAAAAGUAAUGGUAAAUUGAAAUUUGUCCAAUUUACCCCUGACAAGACCUCAGACUUACCUGAUUUUUGUUUCAAAAAUUUCUGUAAUAAAUAUUUUGAAAAAUGUUCAGCUGAAAGAAAAAGACUUUAUCAUGCUAUGCCUUCAUCUACUGUUUCUUUGCUUAUUUCUUUGCUUUCUUUGAUUGCCAUUCCUAAGUCUUCCCUCUUACAUCCAGUGUACAGGUUUCAGAGAAUGAUAGAAUGAUUUAGGACUGAAAUUUAAUCCAGAAAUUAACUGUGCCAAUUCUCUGGUCAAAGCAAGUCUACAGCAGACCAGGUUACUCACAGCCAUGGCCAGUCAAAUCUGGACACAACAUACAAAUUUUACAGCAUCUGAUCAUCACUAUAAUAAAAAAGAUAAAUAUCACAGAAUGUUCUGAGUUGGAAGGCACCCACAAGGAUCAUCAAUUUCAGCACUGUGGUGACUGGCCCAUAUGAGUAACAAGCCUGCGACUUUGGUGUUUGUUAUUCACACCAUGCUCCAACCAACUAUAUUCCAGCAUUUAAUUAGAAUUUCCUACAUUUCCACUUAAAUCCAUUUCUUUUGUCCUAUCACUGUACACCUCUGUGAGGAGUCUGGCAUCAGCUCCUCUGGAUCCUCCAGUGAGAUACCAAUAGGCAGCAACAAAGUCUACUGUGAGCCUUCUUUCCUCAAUACUGAACAAAUCCAGUUCUCCAACUCGCGCCUAUACCCUAUGCUCCAGACCUCAGCCAUCUUGGUGACUGUUACUGGAGUUAGUCCAAAACAUAAAUAUCCUUCUUGCAGCAGGAGCCCAAAAGCUGAAUGCAGUACUCCAGAAAAGGUCUUGCGAAUGCCAAGCAGAGGGAGCAUGUCCUUGGUCCUGCUGACUACAGUCUUGCCAACACAGCCCAGGAUGUAUCUGGUCUCCUUGGCUGCAAGAGCAUGCUCCCAACAUACAUUCAACUUGUCUGAGCAGUCAGGGUCAGGAAAGCUAAAGGCCUGGUAGAAUUAAAUCUGACUGGGGAUGUCAAAGGCAACAAGAGAAGCUUCUAUAUGUACCUCAGUGAUAAAAAGGAAGACUAGGGAAAAUGUGGGCCCUCUUCAAAACAAAAUGGGAGACCUGGAUGCCAGGACAUGGAAAAGGCUGAGAUACUCAAGGACAUUUUCAUGUCAAUCUUCAUCAGCACAGUGUUCCAGCCACACUUCCCAAGUCUCAGAAGACAAAGGCAGGUACAGGGAAAAUUAAGAACCUUCUGACACAGGAGCAGUACAAGUUUGAGAAAAUUUAAGGAACUUGAAGGUGAACAAGUACCUGAGACCUGAUGAGAUGUGCAACCACGAGUCCUGAUGGACCUGGCAGAUGAAGUGGCUAAGCCACUACCCAUCAUACUUGAAGAGUCCUGGUGGUCCAGUGACCCACUGACUCAAAAAGGAGCAAUAUAAUGCCCACUUUUAAAGGUAGAAGCAAAGAAGACCUGGGGAAAUACAGGCCAGUCAGUCUCACCUCUGGGCCCAGAAAGAUCAUAGAAUCAUAGAAUCAUUUAGGCUGGAAAAGGUCCCCAGGAUAAUCAAAUCUAGCUGGGCUUUGAUCUUUGUUAUUUCAUUUCUAAAUGAGUUGCCAAUGUCUGUGUGUCCAUUCCAUGAAGACUGUUUCUGCUGCCACUACCUGUAUAUCUCCUUUUCAUGUCUGAGCUCAAUCAGGAACUCCAUGUUUAUCCACACUUGCUUUCUGCUUUGCCUCUUUGUGAGGAAGGGACAAUUCUCACGCUCUGAAAAGGUAUGCUUAAAGAUCAGUCAGUUCCCCUGGACCCCUUUGAACUCCGGCACAGUUUCCCAUGGGAUAUGCCACACAGCUACCAGAACAGUCUGAAAUGUGCUCUUCUGAAGUCCAGAGAGGUAAUUCUGGAAUUGUCUUUCUCAAUCCUCUCAGGACCUCAUAUUCCACAGCCUCUGCCAUGCAAACUGCCUACUUGUUUGUUUGCAGGCACUGCAUGCAGUGCUAAAGAGCAAUGAAACUGCUAAUAGCAAUUGUAUUCAGGGGCCUGCCACUUUGUGGUGAGGCAUACUCCACCAGAUCUCAUGAAACUAAAACUUUACCAGAGCAUCCCCCAAAAAAAGUCACACACCUUGUGGCCAACCACAUGCUCCUGACACCUGCUCUGCCUUUGCAGCCAGUAGAAUUGUACACAGGUAUCUGCACAAGCACACAAAAAAGCACUGAUUGCCACCUCUCACAGGAAAAGAUGCUUAACCCUGUCUUUUUAAUCAAAACAGGGCUGAAGAAGUUUAUUUUAGAUUUCAUGACAAGAAAUAGUUAAUAAGAUAUUCAGGAGCAGGUCAGGGAAAGACAAUGGGGUGUGUGUAGGUAUCCCUAACUACUAAAUUAGAGAAAACCACUAUAAGACAAAAAAAUGUAAUAAAAAUGCCUAGUUUUUAGAAAUUUUCUCCACUGAAAUUCUCAUACUUCCUUUUCCUUUCAAACCUACCCACAAUAUCUAAGUUAGGCAAAAAAUAAGAGGAAUAAGUAAACUGCCAGUGGGUUAACUUGAUAGGUAAAAUAAAUUCAAAGCCAUGAGCCUUCUCUAACUGCUUUGCAGUCCAACUCCUUUGGACUACAUGAACUGUGAAGACCCUUUCCAACACACAAGACUCUGUAAUUCUAAAUAUAUAUUUAGAUAGGACAGAAAUAUAUAGUUUACAGACACAAUCAUAUGGCAAUUUGAAUAUUUCUUGUUGAUUGCAGGUUUAUUAAAACUAUUUUUAAAGGAUUAGAUGUUCCUUGUGCCGUCAAUUACAUUAAUAUUGAAUUUAUUUUCAUAGCAAUUAUAUUCUCCAUAUACCUAAUUUACAGCUAUUAUAUGUGGUUUCAUUAUCACUGCUUGUCACUACCAAAUGCAGCUGAAUUAAUGUCUAUAGGAUUAAGGUCCAAAGGAUGCAUUUGUAUUAACUAACUAAAUAAAGGUGUGGUGCAAAAUCACUGGAGUAAAAAAGUUGGCAGGCCUUAACUGAACAGCCCUCUAGAAGAGUUUACGGAGAAAAAAAAAUCUUUUGUUACCUUUACUUAGAUAUGAAUUCACAGGAAAAUAGAACACAUUAGAAGAAGACUUAGAAGUGAUGUAUUUCUGUGAUUUGAUUUGUUGUCUUUCAGUGCUAUGCACCAGUUCACACUUCUGAAUAGACUAUCAGAUCUGACUGGUCAGCAAUGUGCAUGGGAUUAAGUUAACUCCUGCCUGAAAUAUACAAUAAAUUCAAGUAUUAUUGCAGCAUGAGCUGCUAAUAGACUAUGUUGACUGAAAAACUCUGGAACUCCAUAUGAUUCUGAACCUGUAUAAUGCUUUAAAUCAGCAGUUUCAGCUAUGCCUAACCCACCUGACAGCACUCCAGUGAAGCCUGUGUGUAUGGCAAAGUAGCUACUCUGCUCUGAAGGA
Molecule: long non-coding RNA, 9221 nt
Organism: Passer domesticus (house sparrow)
Lineage: Eukaryota; Metazoa; Chordata; Aves; Passeriformes; Passeridae
Exons: 3
Source: RefSeq, a predicted model, not a curated record